This 326-nucleotide ribosomal RNA is filed under the name uncultured eukaryote. RNAcentral describes it as "partial 18S ribosomal RNA". It matches the Rfam family "Eukaryotic small subunit ribosomal RNA", at positions 1470 to 1796 of the family's 1831-position model. The record is from RNAcentral.
CCCUUAGGUGUUCUGGGCCGCACGCGCGCUACACUGAAGGGAUCAGCGUGUUUUCCCUUUCCGAGAGGAACGGGUAACCCGCUGAACCCCCUUCGUGGUAGGGAUCGGAGCUUGCAAUUGUUCUCCGUGAACCAGGAAUUCCCAGUAAGCGCAAGUCAUAAGCUUGCGUUGAUUACGUCCCUGCCCUUUGUACACACCGCCCGUCGCUACUACCGAUUGAACGUUUUAGUGAGGUAUUUGGACUGGGCCUUGGGAGGUUUCGGCCUCCCUUGUUGCUCGGAAAGACUCCCAAACUUGAGCGUUUAGAGGAAGUAAAAGUCGUAACA